This 2627-nucleotide long non-coding RNA is filed under the name Triticum aestivum (bread wheat). RNAcentral's name for it is "long non-coding RNA (TAES_LNC025891)". Lineage: Eukaryota; Viridiplantae; Streptophyta; Magnoliopsida; Poales; Poaceae. The record is from RNAcentral.
UGUGGAGUUGAUCACAGGAACUUAUGGAUAUAUAUAGAAAAAGGUUACAAACCAGUGUAACAACUUCUUCAAAAAGCAAACUCUCAUGCUUCCAUGCGAGUGAUUUGUACAUGAUAUACUUCCUCUUCUAACUUUGGAUCUUCAACACACUGUUCUUUGCCUUCUGCAUUUCUCUCGUUCUCGGGUUCGCUUCCUUCGUCAUCCAUGUCAGUGCCCGUGCACUGCUGUAUUCACAAAUGUAUAUGAUACAUUAGUGUUGAAAACAAGUUUAAAAAAGAGGAGGGUAGGACAAAGUAUGACAUAGAAGAAACUAAAAUCAUGGCACUAGCUAGAAGAGAAUUUCUACUGCUAGUUUGUUAAUCAGCAUAUCAUGAUCCCCCCUGGUGCACAAAAAAACUGCUAGCAGCACCAUCUCUAAGACUAAACAGAUGCACAUUUCAAAAAAAAUGAUGUCAACACCAUCUCUGAGGCCCAUUUGUGUAGUUAAAUGACAUGAAAAACUUUCACUCCUCUGUCAGUUCUUCGUUCCUUCUCUAAUGCUUCAUACAACGUCACAACUUCUUCAUACAGCAAACCCUAUGAUGCUUCAGUGUCAGUGAUCUCUCUCCUCUAAAUUUGUAUCUUCAAGACCCUGCUCUCUGCCUUCGUCUUCAAUAUUUUUACCUGUAUGUGGUUGUAUUCAUAAAAAUGUAUAUGAUACAUUAGUGUUGCAGGUAAAUUGUAUCGUUAGGAACAUACUCUAGGCGAAAGAGAAACAACAAUACAAGACAUAUAUGUUGCAGGUAACUUCUUUGUUUGCUCGUGUUUACGGAAAUCCAUCAAAAGACAUGUAGAUAAAUGACAGCACAAAAGACUAAGCAUACAAGGUGAUGCAAUUAACAUACCACACUGUUAAGCCAAUCUCUUGUUUCAGCUUUAGCCUUCUCCCCAGGAUCCUGUGUGAAAAUAAGAAUUGAUGAUAAGACUCAUAACAACUGUAGAAAAAAGUGGUUAAAAUCAAACACAGGAAAGAGACCGAGUGCAUAGAGUUUUAGGCUGUUGACAUGCUCCUUCUUUCAAGGAGGCCUCAGUUUUAGUUUCUAUCUUGUGUUCAAUCUGCUUGUGGGCAUCCAUGAGAGUCUGCUCAUAAAAAAGGCAUUAACUUAUGUCAACAUAUAUCACAAAUUGAUUUAACACAGAACAAAAAAAACUAUGCAAUGCUUUAGAAAUGUUAACAUGUAACGGAAAAGAAGUUGGCUCAGCCACCACAAAAAAUUGAAAAUAAAAAGAGUAAUUGCUUCUAUAAAACUGAACACCUAUAACCAGGAAAACUGCCAUAUUUCUUCAGACAUUAUUAGACGAUGAGAUCUCCCAACUAAAAUCCAUUUAAAGCCCAUCAUCUAAGUUCUUCACCUCUUAAUACCUCUCAAGUUCUAACAAAUGUCAAAGACAAAAUACAGAGGCACUGAAAAGUGGAGUUGCCACUUAACUUGCCCCAACACCUGUAAAAUAACAUAUUUCCUCCAUAUAACUUAGCACUAAAGCACCAUCUAAAAACACUAAUUAGACCCCCUAAAAAUCAGGAUUCACACAAAGGAAAAAAGGCACCAAAAAUUCCAAAUAAUCUGCACUAGCAAAUCCCUCAAAAAACAUGAUCUGUGCCCUAAUCAGGAACCCUAGCCAACAAAAAAUGGAGGACCCGCUACUCGAUUUGGGCUCGCGCCCAUGAUGUUUGUCAGCCUCUGUGGUUUGACACACACAAAAUCAUACCAUACUCCAUGCAUUUCAGCAGGCCCAUUUUCAACGGAACUGAUAGCUGUUGUCGUCGCAGCUGACCUAAGAGAUCCCGAAACUUGGAGUGAGCUAGAGUUGCAGUGAACUACUAGGACAAGUGAGCCGGACACUCCAGUCCAGGGGACAAGCAAAAGAGAUGCUACUGAGAUACUCCCUCCGUCCCAAAAUAUAGUAUAAAAGAUAGUACCAAGCAGUACAUCUGUAGUUUUAGAAAACUGAAUUCACAUGCACCAUUAUGCAUCAGCACUACUAAAGCUGAAGCUAUGGAGUGGAGGCAUGCAUGCAGGCAGGCUACACUCAAAGAUUCAUCAAUCCUACUACCCUAGUUACAUGAAUAACAACACAUCGAUCGAUCUCACUAAUUUCAGACUAUACACCAUGCAUUUCAGCAGGUCCAUUUUCAACAAAUAAAAAUCACCUGUGAGAAAAAACAAAUAUUGCUUUGAAAAAAAACACAUACAUACUCCAUUGGAAAAACAAAUGCAAAAAAGUUUGUACUUUGUAUAUGAUUUUAAAAAGAAUAAGAAAAGGGGGGGGAUCAUGAAAAUUGCCCCCUCCCCCUGCGCUCUGACCCCAAACACAAAGCUAAUUGUGAGAUCGGGGCACUUAUUUUGUGCUAACAAACAUGGCAAAUGGAGUUGUUACGAUGCUCGUGUGACGCACAACGGGGGUACAGGCACGCGGGGGCGGGGGGGUACCUUACCUGCUCCACAAAAACUGGCCCCCUCUCCCCACUGCCCCUUCCGGUAAAGUAAAAAAGCCUAUUCAUAACUAUGUUGGUAAAAGACGUGCAGACUAGUCCGGGGACAAUGCUUACAAUUGCAUGAAUAGUUGCCCUCUCUCCCCAUCGUCCC